RNAcentral lists this ribosomal RNA (253 nucleotides) under uncultured bacterium. RNAcentral describes it as "partial 16S ribosomal RNA". It matches the Rfam family "Bacterial small subunit ribosomal RNA", at positions 524 to 776 of the family's 1533-position model. The record is from RNAcentral.
UACGGGGGGUGCGAGCGUUGUCCGGAUUUACUGGGCGUAAAGGGCGUGUAGGCGGUCCGUUAAGUCUGGUGUGAAAUCUCCCGGCUCAACUGGGAGGGGUCAUCGGAUACUGGCGGACUUGAGGGAGGUAGAGGAAAGCAGAAUUCCUGGUGUAGCGGUGAAAUGCGUAGAUAUCAGGAGGAAUACCAGUGGCGAAGGCGGCUUUCUGGGCCUAUCCUGACGCUGAGGAGCGAAAGCGUGGGGAGCAAACCGG